GAUGAACGCUAGCUACAGGCUUAACACAUGCAAGUCGAGGGCAGCGCAGUGUAGUAAUACAUUGGGGCGGCGACCGGCGCACGGGUGCGUAACGCGUAUCCAACUUCCCGUUACUCAGGGAUAGCCUUCCGAAAGGGAGAUUAAUACCUGAUGGUGUUCAAAUUCCGCAUGUUAUUUGAACUAAAGAUUUAUCGGUAACGGAUGGGGAUGCGUGACAUUAGAUAGUAGGCGGGGUAACGGCCCACCUAGUCUACGAUGUCUAGGGGUUCUGAGAGGAAGGUCCCCCACACUGGAACUGAGACACGGUCCAGACUCCUACGGGAGGCAGCAGUGGGGAAUAUUGGGCAAUGGGGGAAACCCUGACCCAGCAACGCCGCGUGAAGGAAGAAGGCCUUCGGGUUGUAAACUUCUUUUACCAGGGACGAAGAACGUGACGGUACCUGGAGAAAAAGCAACGGCUAACUACGUG
RNAcentral lists this ribosomal RNA (469 nucleotides) under uncultured bacterium. RNAcentral's name for it is "bacterial SSU rRNA". It matches the Rfam family "Bacterial small subunit ribosomal RNA", at positions 28 to 507 of the family's 1533-position model. The record is from RNAcentral.